CAGUAGCCGCGGUAAUACGUAGGUGGCAAGCGUUGUCCGGAAUUAUUGGGCGUAAAGCGCGCGCAGGCGGAUAGGUCAGUCUGUCUUAAAAGUUCGGGGCUUAACCCCGUGAUGGGAUGGAAACUGCCAAUCUAGAGUAUCGGAGAGGAAAGUGGAAUUCCUAGUGUAGCGGUGAAAUGCGUAGAUAUUAGGAAGAACACCAGUGGCGAAGGCGACUUUCUGGACGAAAACUGACGCUGAGGCGCGAAAGCCAGGGGAGCGAACGGGAUUAGAGACCCGCGUAGUCCCUGUCUCUUAUACC
This 301-nucleotide ribosomal RNA is filed under the name uncultured bacterium. Its description in RNAcentral is "partial 16S ribosomal RNA". It matches the Rfam family "Bacterial small subunit ribosomal RNA", at positions 509 to 808 of the family's 1533-position model. The record is from RNAcentral.